Molecule: ribosomal RNA, 378 nt
Filed under: uncultured Janthinobacterium sp.
Lineage: Bacteria; Pseudomonadati; Pseudomonadota; Betaproteobacteria; Burkholderiales; Oxalobacteraceae
Description: bacterial SSU rRNA
Rfam family: Bacterial small subunit ribosomal RNA
Source: RNAcentral
UACAUAGGGUGCAAGCGUUAAUCGGAAUUACUGGGCGUAAAGCGUGCGCAGGCGGUUUUGUAAGUCUGACGUGAAAUCCCCGGGCUCAACCUGGGAAUUGCGUUGGAGACUGCAAGGCUGGAGUCUGGCAGAGGGGGGUAGAAUUCCACGUGUAGCAGUGAAAUGCGUAGAGAUGUGGAGGAACACCGAUGGCGAAGGCAGCCCCCUGGGUCAAGACUGACGCUCAUGCACAAAAGCGUGGGGAGCAAACAGGAUUAGAUACCCUGGUAGUCCACGCCCUAAACGAUGUCUACUAGUUGUCGGGUCUUAAUUGACUUGGUAACGCAGCUAACGCGUGAAGUAGACCGCCUGGGGAGUACAGUCGCAAGAUUAAAACUC